UACGUAGGGGGCAAGCGUUGUCCGGAUUUAUUGGGCGUAAAGAGCGUGUAGGCGGCUUUGCAAGUCCGUUGUGAAAACUCGAGGCUCAACCUCGAGACGCCGGUGGAAACUGCAAAGCUAGAGUCCGGAAGAGGAGAGUGGAAUUCCUGGUGUAGCGGUGAAAUGCGCAGAUAUCAGGAGGAAUACCGAUGGCGAAGGCAGGUCUCUGGGCUGACACUGACGCUCAUGCACGAAAGCGUGGGGAGCAAACAGG
This 253-nucleotide ribosomal RNA is filed under the name uncultured bacterium. RNAcentral's name for it is "partial 16S ribosomal RNA". It matches the Rfam family "Bacterial small subunit ribosomal RNA", at positions 524 to 776 of the family's 1533-position model. The record is from RNAcentral.